RNAcentral lists this ribosomal RNA (50 nucleotides) under Phyllactinia taurica. RNAcentral describes it as "Leveillula taurica partial 28S ribosomal RNA". The record is from RNAcentral. Lineage: Eukaryota; Fungi; Ascomycota; Leotiomycetes; Helotiales; Erysiphaceae.
UUGACCUCGAAUCAGGUAGGGAUACCCGCUGAACUUAAGCAUAUCAUAAA